UCUAAAGGGAUUUGUAUGAACAAGUCCUUUAUUUAUUUAUUUGUCUAGUUAGUACCAAACAGAGAGAGAAGAUGAGUUUAGAAUCCUGGUUCUUUAGUUAGAUAGUACCAAUAGGGAUUGGUUAAUUUUGCUGCUACAACUCGAACGGAGAUGAUGAGCGAGGUGGAGUAGAAGGUGAUGAAAGUCGACGCAACGCUGAGCCAAACCCACUCCUUGCCGACGCAACCUAGAUGUGGUUCUCUUAAGUCACGAAGCUAGAUAUAUCCUUCACCGGUAGCUAGUUUGAUCUAUCCUGAUGGACAAGCUAACAUACAUAGCAGUAGUUGAUUUUUUAUCAUUCCCCCACCGGCCAGAGCACAACGUACACACAGAGAGAGCAAAUCUCCAGUUAGCUUUUUUUUAGUUUGUCCUCUAAUUAGCAGAAACUACUCAUUCUUACUCCCCGCAGGUGGCUGGCAGUAUCAUCCUUGAUCUAUAUUUUUUGGAUGGUUAGUCAAAGAGCAUGUGAUUAAUAAAUUAGAGGAAGUGCAGGUUACUUUGUUGUUUCCCCUAGAUCUGUUCUCACGAACAUGCAUAUGCAUCACACUAAUCUGCUUCUUCAUAAUUAUUGAAUCCAAGCAUGUAAGUCGCUAUAGCAUUUGCACAUCAAUCCAGAUAUGUUUCAUUACUCCAGUUUCUACCUUUAGUUUUAUAUAUGGGCUAGCUACUACACAAUUUAAUUACUCUGCAUAUUUUGUAUUACCUGAACAUGGAUAAAUUGCAUGUAAAAUUUUGGUUCCCAUAGAUCUCUCGGUUGAGUCAAGGACUCUAGGUAGCAAUUUUUUCUAUCUCAAUUUCAUUUGCUAUAGUCAGUUACUAUUUCGCAUUAAUAUGUUCAGAUUCCCAGGUAUGAUUAAUUGAUCAUAUGUACCUUUGGAUCUUCCAAAACAAUCAACAUUUUAUCUGCGCUAUUUUCUUUCACAUUUGCCAUUUUGUUCAUAUCUGUAGAUCUAUUUAUAUAUAUUCUUUUUUUGUUUCUGCCAACCCACAUAUGCAUCAAUUUGAAUGAACUUAAAUUUGAUCCUUUAUUUGGUAUUACCUACAUAAAAUUGAUUAUCCAUCUCUUCUUUGAUGCACAGGUAGGUACCGCUGAUGUACUGGAGCCUUGAUCUUAAUUUUUCUUCAUUGAUGUCCUUGGAGAAGAUGGCCAUUGGAGUGUAGGGGAGGAACAACCUUCUCUUGCUCGAGGAGGAGGACCACCCGAUCUCGACGACGGCACGGCAACAGGUAGCACUCGCCUCCCUCCCAUGGUGAAGGUCUGAUCCGCCUGUUUAGAUGGUCUGCUCUUGUCUUAUGCAUGUGAGGGGAGAAGAAAGCCAUUGGACUGAAUUAUAUUUGCAUGUGAGGGUAGCGGUCCUUUUGGUAGAUGCAGAGUAUAGAUUCACAAAAUUCACCACAUGAGCGUACUACCUAUAUCCAAAUUCUGGAUACCACUUGCAUCUUUUGUAUGUACACAUGAAAAAGCAUGACGGUUUGCUUCAGUUUGUAUGUGUCCAAUUGUUUUUUUACUUUGACUGAAACUAUCUAUCUUGGUGGCACUUGCAUCUCCUGUAUAUACAUAUGAAUCAGCACCACACUUCUCUUCA
This is a long non-coding RNA of Aegilops tauschii subsp. strangulata, 1625 nucleotides long. RefSeq lists it as uncharacterized. Lineage: Eukaryota; Viridiplantae; Streptophyta; Magnoliopsida; Poales; Poaceae. The record is from RefSeq and is a predicted model, not a curated record.